RNAcentral lists this ribosomal RNA (275 nucleotides) under uncultured bacterium. RNAcentral's name for it is "partial 16S ribosomal RNA". It matches the Rfam family "Bacterial small subunit ribosomal RNA", at positions 338 to 630 of the family's 1533-position model. The record is from RNAcentral.
CCUACGGGGGGCUGCAGUGGGGAAUAUUGGACAAUGGGGGAAACCCUGAUCCAGCAAUGCCGCGUGAGUGAUGAAGGCCUUCGGGUUGUAAAGCUCUUUUAGCAGGGACGAUGAUGACGGUACCUGCAGAAUAAGCCACGGCUAACUUCGUGCCAGCAGCCGCGGUAAUACGAAGGUGGCUAGCGUUGUUCGGAUUUACUGGGCGUAAAGGGAGCGUAGGCGGUAGAAUAAGUCAGAUGUGAAAGCCCAAGGCUUAACCUUGGAAUUGCAUUUGA